UAAGCGGAGGAAAAGAAACCAACAGGGAUUGCCUCAGUAACGGCGAGUGAAGCGGCAACAGCUCAAAUUUGAAAUCUGGCCCCAGGCCCGAGUUGUAAUUUGCAGAGGAUGCUUUUGGCGAGGUGCCUUCCGAGUUCCCUGGAACGGGACGCCAUAGAGGGUGAGAGCCCCGUCUGGUCGGACACCGAGCCUCUGUAAAGCUCCUUCGACGAGUCGAGUAGUUUGGGAAUGCUGCUCAAAAUGGGAGGUAUAUGUCUUCUAAAGCUAAAUACCGGCCAGAGACCGAUAGCGCACAAGUAGAGUGAUCGAAAGAUGAAAAGCACUUUGAAAAGAGAGUUAAAUAGCACGUGAAAUUGUUGAAAGGGAAGCGUUUAUGACCAGACUUGGCCCGGUUGAUCAUCCAGCGCUCGCGCUGGUGCACUCUGCCGGUCCAGGCCAGCAUCAGUUCGCCGCGGGGGAUAAAGGUUUCGGGAAUGUAGCUCCUCCGGGAGUGUUAUAGCCCGUUGCGUAAUACCCUGUGGUGGACUGAGGUCCGCGCUCUGCAAGGAUGCUGGCGUAAUGGUCAUCAACGACCCGUCUUGAAACACGGACCAAGGAGUCGUCUUCGUAUGCGAGUGUUCGGGUGUCAAACCCCUACGCGUAAUGAAAGUGAACGCAGGUGAGAGCUUCGGCGCAUCAUCGACCGAUCCUGAUGUUCUCGGAUGGAUUUGAGUAAGAGCAUACGGGGCCGGACCCGAAAGAAGGUGAACUAUGCCUGUAUAGGGUGAAGCCAGAGGAAACUCUGGUGGAGGCUCGCAGCGGUUCUGACGUGCAAAUCGAUCGUCAAAUAUGGGCAUGGGGGCGAAAGACUAAUCGAACCUUCUAGUAGCUGGUUUCCGC
RNAcentral lists this ribosomal RNA (879 nucleotides) under Myrothecium thailandicum. RNAcentral's name for it is "eukaryotic LSU rRNA". It matches the Rfam family "Eukaryotic large subunit ribosomal RNA", at positions 47 to 961 of the family's 3401-position model. Lineage: Eukaryota; Fungi; Ascomycota; Sordariomycetes; Hypocreales; Stachybotryaceae. The record is from RNAcentral.